RNAcentral lists this transfer RNA (72 nucleotides) under Apaloderma vittatum (bar-tailed trogon). It matches the Rfam family "tRNA". From Rfam's summary of the family: Transfer RNA (tRNA) molecules are approximately 80 nucleotides in length. Their secondary structure includes four short double-helical elements and three loops (D, anti-codon, and T loops). The record is from Rfam by way of RNAcentral. Lineage: Eukaryota; Metazoa; Chordata; Aves; Trogoniformes; Trogonidae.
GACCGGUUAGCUCAGUCAGUUGAGCAUGGCGCUAACAACGCCAAGGUUGUGGGUUCGAUUCCCAUUUGGUCC